Molecule: ribosomal RNA, 468 nt
Filed under: uncultured bacterium
Lineage: Bacteria
Description: partial 16S ribosomal RNA
Rfam family: Bacterial small subunit ribosomal RNA
Source: RNAcentral
GACGAACGCUGGCGGCGUGCUUAACACAUGCAAGUCGAACGGAAAGGCCCUGCUUUGGUGGGGUGCUCGAGUGGCGAACGGGUGAGUAACACGUGAGUAACCUGCCCUUGACGUUGGGAUAACUUCAGGAAACUGGGUCUAAUACCGGAUAGGAGCUCCGGCUGCAUGGUGGGGGUUGGAAAGUUUCGGCGGUGGGGUAUGGACUCGCGGCUUAUCAGCUUGUUGGUGGUGUAGUGGCUUACCAAGGCUUUGACGGGUAGCCGGCCUGAGGGGGUGACCGGGCACCUUGGGACUGAGAGACGGCGCAGUCUCCUACGGGAGGCAGCAGUGGGGAAUAUUGCACAAUGGGCGGAAGCCUGAUGCAAAGACGCCGCGUGCGGGAUGACGGCCUUCGGGUUGUAAACCGCUUUCGCCUGUGACGAAGCGUGAGUGACGGUAAUGGGUAAAGAAGCACCGGCUAACUACGUG